RNAcentral lists this ribosomal RNA (413 nucleotides) under uncultured prokaryote. RNAcentral's name for it is "bacterial SSU rRNA". It matches the Rfam family "Bacterial small subunit ribosomal RNA", at positions 505 to 918 of the family's 1533-position model. The record is from RNAcentral.
GUGUCAGCCGCCGCGGUAAUACGUAGGGUGCAAGCGUUAAUCGGAAUUACUGGGCGUAAAGCGUGCGCAGGCGGUUCGGAAAGAGAGGUGUGAAAUCCCAGGGCUUAACCUUGGAACUGCACUUUUAACUCCCGAGCUAGAGUAUGUCAGAGGGGGGUGGAAUUCCGCGUGUAGCAGUGAAAUGCGUAGAUAUGCGGAGGAACACCGAUGGCGAAGGCAGCCCCCUGGGAUAAUACUGACGCUCAUGCACGAAAGCGUGGGGAGCAAACAGGAUUAGAUACCCUGGUAGUCCACGCCCUAAACGAUGUCAACUAGCUGUUGGGGCCUUCGGGCCUUAGUAGCGCAGCUAACGCGUGAAGUUGACCGCCUGGGGAGUACGGUCGCAAGAUUAAAACUCAAAGGAAUUGACGGGG